Non-coding RNA from Leptonychotes weddellii (Weddell seal), 184 nucleotides. The record is from RefSeq and is a predicted model, not a curated record. NCBI's taxonomy places the organism in Eukaryota, Metazoa, Chordata, Mammalia, Carnivora, Phocidae.
GGCAGGCGCAAAGGGAUGCUUUGUUCCGGAAUAAAGCGGGAUGUGUGCAGGGCUGAUCCAGAGCGGGCGAAAGACUCAUACUCUCUCUGCACUUCUCUGAGGAAGCAGGAUCCAGGAGCUGCUGCUCUCCUCCUGGGUAUUGCUGGAUAAACCAAAUGAAUUCGGGCAUAAGGAAAAGUGAACA